Molecule: ribosomal RNA, 253 nt
Filed under: uncultured bacterium
Lineage: Bacteria
Description: partial 16S ribosomal RNA
Rfam family: Bacterial small subunit ribosomal RNA
Source: RNAcentral
UACGGAGGGGGCUAGCGUUGUUCGGAAUUACUGGGCGUAAAGCGUGCGCAGGCGGUUAUGCAAGACAGAUGUGAAAUCCCCGGGCUCAACCUGGGAACUGCAUUUGUGACUGCAUAGCUAGAGUACGGUAGAGGGGGAUGGAAUUCCGCGUGUAGCAGUGAAAUGCGUAGAUAUCAAGUGGAACACCAGUGGCGAAGGCGAGUCCCUGGACAACUCCUGACACUGAGGCACGAAAGCUAGGGGAGCAAACAGG